This 253-nucleotide ribosomal RNA is filed under the name uncultured bacterium. Its description in RNAcentral is "partial 16S ribosomal RNA". It matches the Rfam family "Bacterial small subunit ribosomal RNA", at positions 1000 to 1263 of the family's 1533-position model. The record is from RNAcentral.
GUAGAGAUACAGCUUCCCUUCGGGGCAGAGUGACAGGUGGUGCAUGGUUGUCGUCAGCUCGUGUCGUGAGAUGUUGGGUUAAGUCCCGCAACGAGCGCAACCCCUGCCAUUAGUUGCUACGCAAGAGCACUCUAAUGGGACCGCUACCGACAAGGUGGAGGAAGGUGGGGACGACGUCAAUCAUCAUGCCCCUUAUGACCUGGGCUACGCACGUAAUACAAUGGCCGUUAACAACGGGAAGCUGUAUCUCUAC